GGAUAAAGACUUCUUUUGGCCAACUAAUUGACACUUGCUGAUAUUAUUGAAAGACUUGUUUCGAAACAGCCGGAGCUGCAAAAGUGCGUAGCAGAAUCGCCAAGAUGGCGCAAAAACAAAGCAAACCACAUGAUGUCGUCAGCCAAUAUGCAAGAAGCAAUCCACAUGACGUCACCUACGAGUCUUCUCGCGAAGCUGUGAAACUUGGCCAAGAAUCUAGCGUUUACAGGAACGUUGCGGUAUGGAGUAAGAAUUGGAUAGCUUUCCGAUAUGCUGCGUUGUUUUCUCUAGCUUCUUUUCUGUUGAUCACCGAUAUUCAUUGCUGUGGUCUUCUCUUCAUGUAUGAUUCUGAUAACAUAGUUUAUGGUUUGGUUAUUAUGGGAAUCGGAAACCUUAUCGCGUUCACUGUCUUGGCUGCACAAGCUCGAGAACUCGUCGACGAUUCGAAGACCGCAGACGGCGUACCUUGGUGGUGUUAUGGUUGCACAAACUCCAGAUGCAAUUGAAGUGGAUAUUGCUCCCGUAGCUGCGAGUUUGGUCUCGUAUUUCAUGAAUGAGAAAAAAUGCUUAACGAUCCUUGACAUAUUAGAAUGAAUACGUGCUAUAAAUAUUCUGCCUUGUCCGUAUGUGGUCGUAGGAGAAUCCGGGACAUUUUGUAAUUUUAUUUUGCAAGUCAGGUUUCUCGGUUAGGUGUUUGGUUACGUCAUACGUGUGUUUAUAAUGAUUUGUAAUGUAAUCAGUGUUCGGAUAUACUAGCAAAUGUUAUGCCAGGAUUUUCUUAUAAAAUAUUCAUUGCUUGUGGAA
Molecule: long non-coding RNA, 804 nt
Organism: Daucus carota subsp. sativus
Lineage: Eukaryota; Viridiplantae; Streptophyta; Magnoliopsida; Apiales; Apiaceae
Exons: 2
Source: RefSeq, a predicted model, not a curated record